GCAGGACUUGCUGGUUUGCAAAGAAAGGGGAAAUUUGACACAGUUUCGGUGUGAUCGAGAACUUCAACGUGAACCAUCCGCAUCUUUCAGGAGUGCAGGGCAGGACAGAUCUGCGACAAGUGACCCCAGAUCACGGUUCGCAAUAUUGAAAGAAUAAAAAUGCGGCAUGUUUUCCCCAAUUGGAUGACAAUGCAGGUAUUCUGGUUAUGCAGUGUAAUUGACGGGUUUUUCGGCCGUACCUCCUGGACUGCAAACUGACGUGAUGGUCGUCAUCAUCGUGGCUGUGGAAGUUGGCCAAGGACA
This 303-nucleotide small RNA is filed under the name Histoplasma capsulatum var. duboisii H88. RNAcentral's name for it is "Histoplasma capsulatum H88 hypothetical RNA". The record is from RNAcentral. Lineage: Eukaryota; Fungi; Ascomycota; Eurotiomycetes; Onygenales; Ajellomycetaceae.